GCAGGCUUACACAUGCAAGUCGAGCGGGCGUAGCAAUACGUCAGCGGCAGACGGGUGAGUAACGCGUGGGAACGUACCUUUUGGUUCGGAACAACCCAGGGAAACUUGGGCUAAUACCGGAUAAGCCCUUACGGGGAAAGAUUUAUCGCCGAAAGAUCGGCCCGCGUCUGAUUAGCUAGUUGGUGAGGUAAUGGCUCACCAAGGCGACGAUCAGUAGCUGGUCUGAGAGGAUGAUCAGCCACAUUGGGACUGAGACACGGCCCAAACUCCUACGGGAGGCAGCAGUGGGGAAUAUUGGACAAUGGGCGCAAGCCUGAUCCAGCCAUGCCGCGUGAGUGAUGAAGGCCCUAGGGUUGUAAAGCUCUUUUGUGCGGGAAGAUAAUGACGGUACCGCAAGAAUAAGCCCCGGCUAACUUCGUGCCAGCAGCCGCGGUAAUAC
This 439-nucleotide ribosomal RNA is filed under the name uncultured bacterium. Its description in RNAcentral is "bacterial SSU rRNA". It matches the Rfam family "Bacterial small subunit ribosomal RNA", at positions 42 to 526 of the family's 1533-position model. The record is from RNAcentral.